GGUGGAGUGACCGAGAGGCUAGGUUGCGGUCCGCACGACCGUGUACGCAGGUUCGAAUCCUGCCUCCACCU
Molecule: transfer RNA, 71 nt
Filed under: Candidatus Yaniella excrementigallinarum
Lineage: Bacteria; Bacillati; Actinomycetota; Actinomycetes; Micrococcales; Micrococcaceae
Description: tRNA-Cys
Rfam family: tRNA
About the family: Transfer RNA (tRNA) molecules are approximately 80 nucleotides in length. Their secondary structure includes four short double-helical elements and three loops (D, anti-codon, and T loops).
Source: RNAcentral